AGAGUGGGUCGGGCGGUCGCCCCGCACCUAUUUGGCUUAAUGUCGAACCAAGAGUGUCUGAGGAAAAAGGUGAGAGAUAUCGCAGCAAUUGUGGUUGCAGACAAUGAACCAAAUAGGUGCGGGGAGGAAAGUCCGAGCAGGACAGGGCACGGUGGUGGUUAACGGCCACCCGAGGCAACUCGCGGGAAAGUGCCACAGAAACGACACAGCCGAUGGCCUCGAUUCGUCGGGACACAGGCAAAGGUGAAAUGGUGCGGUAAGAGCGCACCGCGGCACCGGUGACGGUGUCGGCAGGGUAAACCCCACCGCCUGCAAGACCAAGCAGCUGGUACUCGGCCCGGGUAUUAACAGCAGGUAGGUCGCUUCCCGCACCUACUUUGAGAUGCUAACGUUGACCCGACAGAUGAAACUUGAUUGUUGUUCGAAGCACAAAAGCGGGGAUUUGCGUUGGAAUCUCAAAGUAGGUGCGGGGGAGCCAACUGGUAACAGUUGGUCAAGAUAAAUGGCCGCCGCCCGUCAGUUGUGACGGCGUACAGAACUCGGCUUAUAGACCCACUCUUAUU
RNAcentral lists this RNase P RNA (563 nucleotides) under Planctomycetota bacterium. RNAcentral describes it as "RNase P RNA component class A". It matches the Rfam family "Bacterial RNase P class A". Rfam says of the family: Ribonuclease P (RNase P) is a ubiquitous endoribonuclease, found in archaea, bacteria and eukarya as well as chloroplasts and mitochondria. Its best characterised activity is the generation of mature 5'-ends of tRNAs by cleaving the 5'-leader elements of precursor-tRNAs. The record is from RNAcentral. Lineage: Bacteria; Pseudomonadati; Planctomycetota.